RNAcentral lists this transfer RNA (59 nucleotides) under Toxocara canis (dog roundworm). Its description in RNAcentral is "transfer RNA-Asp". The record is from RNAcentral. Lineage: Eukaryota; Metazoa; Nematoda; Chromadorea; Rhabditida; Toxocaridae.
AAAAUUAUAGUAUAAGGUGCAGUAUGUCUCGUUGUCGAUGAGAGGGUUGAUUAAUUUUG